UACAGAGGGUGCAAGCGUUAAUCGGAAUUACUGGGCGUAAAGCGUGCGCAGGCGGCUUUGCAAGACAGAUGUGAAAUCCCCGGGCUCAACCUGGGAACUGCAUUUGUGACUGUAUAGCUAGAGUACGGCAGAGGGGGAUGGAAUUCCGCGUGUAGCAGUGAAAUGCGUAGAUAUGCGGAGGAACACCGAUGGCGAAGGCAAUCCCCUGGGCCUGUACUGACGCUCAUGCACGAAAGCGUGGGGAGCAAACAGG
RNAcentral lists this ribosomal RNA (253 nucleotides) under uncultured bacterium. RNAcentral describes it as "partial 16S ribosomal RNA". It matches the Rfam family "Bacterial small subunit ribosomal RNA", at positions 524 to 776 of the family's 1533-position model. The record is from RNAcentral.